UAAAAUACAAAGAAAAUACAAGAUGGAGAAGGAAUUACAGAAAAUGGAUCCCAAAAAUGGAUUCAGAGAUAUCAAAUUAGGGGGGGAGGCCCCCUUUUUAUAGAUACAUGGAGUAAAUCAUGGCCAUCGGAUUAAAAACAGUUUGGACGCUCAGGAUUGCGCCACGUCAUCAGUCAACAGUCCACGGUUUGACCACGUGGAUGAACAGUAACACGGUUUGACCCGGAUGAACAGUAACGCGGUUUGGUUGAAAAUAAUCCUGUGUGAUGCAUGCACCGUACGCGAGAUUUUUCGUCCACUGAUAUGCUGCCACGUCACCAUCAACAGUACAUAAGAAUUUUAGUCCAACAGGAUCGUGACACCUCAUCAGUCAAUGCCACAUCAUCGGUCAAUACCACGUCAUCGAUCCGUCUAUGUGAACAGUGUCGUGAACAGUAACGUAGACAGUACCGUAUACGUGAAUAGUACCGUACAUGUGAAUAGUGCCAUUUUUCCUUUUAUGCUCCUCCUAAGGUUUUCGACCGUCCU
This 528-nucleotide long non-coding RNA is filed under the name Citrus x clementina. RNAcentral's name for it is "Citrus clementina (C. clementina) long non-coding RNA (CCLE_LNC004526)". The record is from RNAcentral. Lineage: Eukaryota; Viridiplantae; Streptophyta; Magnoliopsida; Sapindales; Rutaceae.